RNAcentral lists this long non-coding RNA (331 nucleotides) under Elaeis guineensis (African oil palm). RNAcentral's name for it is "long non-coding RNA (EGUI_LNC016879)". The record is from RNAcentral. Lineage: Eukaryota; Viridiplantae; Streptophyta; Magnoliopsida; Arecales; Arecaceae.
AGUAUUAAUUCAACUGUAUGCAGAGUUUAUUUAACUGUAUGUAGUGUUCCAUUAACUGUGCACGAUGUUAAUUUAACUAUAUGUAGGAUUAAUUUAAACAUGUACUAUAUUUAGUUAAUUACAUACCAUAUUAAAUUAAUUAUACUAUAUUAAUUUAACUGUAUAUAGUAUUAAUUUAACUGUGUAUGGAGUUCAUUUAACUGUGUAUAGUAUUAAAUUAAUUGUGUAUGAUGUUAAUUUAACUGUUUACCAUAUUUAGUUAACUACGUUCUAUAUUAAAUUAACUAUAUACUAUAUUGUUGCUCAGCUAUGCAACCCAAGAGGGGAGGGG